UGCCCGGAGAUGGACACUGAGACAAGGGUCCAGGCCCUAAGGGGCGCAGCAACCGCGAAACCUCCACAAUGCACUCACGUGCGAUGGGGCUAUCUCGAGUGCCACCUGAUGAAGGUGGCUUUUCCUAGGUCUUCAAAGCCUUGGGAAUAAGAGGGGGGCAAGACUGGUGUCAGCCGCCGCGGUAACACCAGCCCCUCGAGUGGUGGGGAUGAUUAUUUGGCCUAAAGCGUCCGUAGCCGGCCGAGCAAGUCUUCCGUUAAAUCCAGCGUCUCAAGCGUUGGACUGCGGGAGAUACUACACGGCUAGAGAGUGGGAGAGGUCAGCGGUAUUCUGGGGGUAGGGGCGAAAUCCUUUGAUCCCCGGAGGACCACCAGUGGCGAAGGCUGCUGACUAGAACACGUCUGACGGUCAGGGACGAAAGCUGGGGUAGCGAACCGGAUUAGAUACCCGGGUAGUCCCAGCCGUAAGCGAUGCAUGCUAGGUGUUGGGUUGGCCACGAGCCACCCCAGUGCCGCAGGGAAGCCGUUAAGCAUGCCGCCUGGGAAGUACGAUCGCAAGAUUGAAACUUAAAGGAAUUGGCGGGGGAGCACCACCAGGCGUGAAGCCUGCGGUUUAAUUG
RNAcentral lists this ribosomal RNA (619 nucleotides) under uncultured archaeon. RNAcentral's name for it is "bacterial SSU rRNA". It matches the Rfam family "Archaeal small subunit ribosomal RNA", at positions 287 to 908 of the family's 1478-position model. The record is from RNAcentral.